AACCCCCUGAAAUCUGUCAAUGAACUUGCCGGAACAUUCAGAUAUUCAGGGGGCCAAAAGCAGGCGGCGUGCCUGUGAAGGAUUAUAGCAAAUGUAUAAUCACAUACAACCCCCUUGCACCGGCAUA
This is a non-coding RNA of Pantoea stewartii subsp. stewartii DC283, 127 nucleotides long. The record is from Rfam. NCBI's taxonomy places the organism in Bacteria, Pseudomonadati, Pseudomonadota, Gammaproteobacteria, Enterobacterales, Erwiniaceae.